UCUUAAGUAGUUUAUCUAAAAUAAUGAUUUGUGGCAUCAUAGAAGUAUUUUAUAUACCUUAGGUA
This 65-nucleotide transfer RNA is filed under the name Ischnura pumilio. Its description in RNAcentral is "tRNA-His". Lineage: Eukaryota; Metazoa; Arthropoda; Insecta; Odonata; Coenagrionidae. The record is from RNAcentral.